This 514-nucleotide ribosomal RNA is filed under the name uncultured bacterium. RNAcentral describes it as "partial 16S ribosomal RNA". It matches the Rfam family "Bacterial small subunit ribosomal RNA", at positions 28 to 523 of the family's 1533-position model. The record is from RNAcentral.
GAUGAACGCUGGCGGCGUGCCUAAUACAUGCAAGUCGAGCGAACUGAUUAGAAGCUUGCUUCUAUGACGUUAGCGGCGGACGGGUGAGUAACACGUGGGCAACCUGCCUGUAAGACUGGGAUAACUUCGGGAAACCGAAGCUAAUACCGGAUAGGAUCGUCUCCUUCAUGGGAGAUGAUUGAAAGAUGGUUUCGGCUAUCACUUACCGAUGGGCCCGCGGUGCAUUAGCUAGUUGGUGAGGUAACGGCUCACCAAGGCAACGAUGCAUAGCCGACCUGAGAGGGUGAUCGGCCACACUGGGACUGAGACACGGCCCAGACUCCUACGGGAGGCAGCAGUAGGGAAUCUUCCGCAAUGGACGAAAGUCUGACGGAGCAACGCCGCGUGAGUGAUGAAGGCUUUCGGGUCGUAAAACUCUGUUGUUAGGGAAGAAUAAGUACAAGAGUAACUGCUUGUACCUUGACGGUACCUAACCAGAAAGCCACGGCUAACUACGUGCCAGCAGCCGCAGUAA